GACGAACGCUGGCGGCGUGCUUAACACAUGCAAGUCGAACGGAAAGGCCCUGCUUUUGUGGGGUGCUCGAGUGGCGAACGGGUGAGUAACACGUGAGUAACCUGCCCUUGACUUUGGGAUAACUUCAGGAAACUGGGGCUAAUACCGGAUAGGAGCUCCUGCUGCAUGGUGGGGGUUGGAAAGUUUCGGCGGUGGGGGAUGGACUCGAGGCUUAUCAGCUUGUUGGUGGGGUAGUGGCUUACCAAGGCUUUGACGGGUAGCCGGACUGAGAGGGUGACCGGCCACAUUGGGACUGAGGUACGGCCCAGACUCCUACGGGAGGCAGCAGUGGGGAAUAGUGCACAAUGGGCGGAAGCCUGAUGCAGCAACGCCGCGUGGGGGAUGACGGCCUUCGGGUUGUAAACCGCUUUCGCCUGUGACGAAGCGUGAGUGACGGUAAUGGGUAAAGAAGCACCGGCUAACUACGUG
RNAcentral lists this ribosomal RNA (468 nucleotides) under uncultured bacterium. RNAcentral's name for it is "partial 16S ribosomal RNA". It matches the Rfam family "Bacterial small subunit ribosomal RNA", at positions 28 to 507 of the family's 1533-position model. The record is from RNAcentral.